GCUUGCUGAAGCUANUAAAGUGGCGCACGGGUGAGUAUCGCGUGGGUAAUCUACCCUUGAGACUGGAAUAACAUUGCGAAAGCGAUGCUAAUACCGGAUAAUAUCCUUAAAUUUUCGAAUUUUUGGAUCAAAGGGGGUCUCUACAUGUAAGCUUCCACUUAGGGAUGAGCCCGCGUACCAUUAGCUUGUUGGUAGGGUAAUGGCCUACCAAGGCCGCGAUGGUUAGCUGGUCUGAGAGGAUGAUCAGCCACACUGGAACUGACACACGGUCCAGACUCCUACGGGAGGCAGCAGUGAGGAAUUUUGCGCAAUGGGGGAAACCCUGACGCAGCAACGCCGCGUGAGUGAUGAAGGCUUUCGGGUCGUAAAGCUCUGUCAAGUGGGAAGAAACGGAAAAGUAGUAAAAUNCUUUUCUCUGACGGUACCACUGAAGGAAGCACCGGCUAACUCCGUGCCAGCAGCCGCGGUAAUACGGGGGGUGCAAGCGUUAUUCGGAAUUAUUGGGCGUAAA
RNAcentral lists this ribosomal RNA (511 nucleotides) under uncultured bacterium. RNAcentral's name for it is "bacterial SSU rRNA". It matches the Rfam family "Bacterial small subunit ribosomal RNA", at positions 75 to 564 of the family's 1533-position model. The record is from RNAcentral.